Molecule: long non-coding RNA, 1272 nt
Organism: Neopsephotus bourkii (Bourke's parrot)
Lineage: Eukaryota; Metazoa; Chordata; Aves; Psittaciformes; Psittacidae
Exons: 2
Source: RefSeq, a predicted model, not a curated record
UCUUGUUUAACAGAGGUCAGCUCAAAGGUUUCGCAUGUUAGUAUAAGGCAAAUUAGGUAACUAUUUCAGUUUAUAUCCAAGAGAGAAGUAAAAUCUUUGGGGACUGAGCUGAAAUUUAGAUGAUGUGAAGGUUGUAAGAGGAAGAUGAAAAUCUUUCUUUCUGUAUCUGUCAUCUCAGUAAUUUUUCUGGGUGGUAGGUUCAUAGGAAUCUCUUUUUUUUUAAUACAGGAUUGAUUCUCAUGGGUAUGUGGAGGAGGAAAAGGGUAACUACAGAUAAAGAAGCUGCUGUGCUGAAAUUGUUUCAGGCUAGCUCCUGGAAGGCUAUGAGGAAAGUUACACUGAUCAAGAUGCAAAGAAUGCCAGAAAAAAACAAUAAAAGAUUGGAAGAAUUGUGAAUUGUGCAAAGACAGAUCUCCUUCUCAGGUUUUGGGAACAGUUUGCUGCCUAAAGGUAAAUUUUCCAGGUUUUUGCAGAAGCAAUGCUGUGUUUGGUACUUUUUGUAAGACUUCAAAUAUUACAGUUAGAGAUGUGUUUGGGCCACUCCUUCAGGAGGUGAAAAUCUUCCUGACUUAAUGCCUACUGUAGAAUGUCCAUCGUUACAAUGAAAUAUUUCAUAAUGGCAAAGUAUCUCAGGGAAUAUUGUAUAGCUGAAAUAACUUAUCGAUACUUAUGUUUCACUGACUAGAAACGUUCUGAGUGAUAUUACAGGAUACUGCAGGAAUAGCACCUGUAGCUGGAAGGGGCUUUGUGUAAAAUUCUCAUGACUGCAAACCCUAAUGAAACUUUGUAAGCAACAAUGAGAAAUAUAACAGCAAAAUAAUAAUUAAAAAAACAAACAAGGCAAACCCAAAUGCACACAAGCCCAACUAAGAAAGAAAUAGCUCUAGAGUAACCUUUUGUGUGAUACUUAACCAUAUUUCUCAAACUUGCAUGUGAUAAUUAUGUUUGAACACUAGAAGCCUUAUUUUCAUGCUAUCCUCUAUUUGCACGUUAACUGAGAAAAGGGCAUUUGUCCUCACAGUUUCAAAAGCCUACAAAGCAGAGGAAGGAGAUGCUUAUGAAAUCAACAGGAAAUUUUAUCUGGUAAGAAAAACAAGAGUGUACUAUGGUCACAUGAUUCUUUUCCAGCAAGAAGUGCUUAGAGGGGCACAGCAACCCAUAUUUUCUACUGACUGACUCACAGAAGUGAGUCUGUACAAACCUUGCUGGCUGCCAAUUUUCAAAUACUGUUUCAGUGAAAAUCACUUUUGAAAUAAAAGGGAAUUAAAUGAA